ACAGAGGGUGCAAGCGUUGUUCGGAAUUAUUGGGCGUAAAGCGCGUGUAGGCGGCAGAGCAUGUCGGGUGUGAAAGCCCUCGGCUUAACCGAGGAAGUGCGCCCGAAACUGCUCCGCUGGAGUGCUGGAGAGGGUAGCGGAAUUCCCGGUGUAGAGGUGAAAUUCGUAGAUAUCGGGAGGAACACCAGUGGCGAAGGCGGCUACCUGGACAGACACUGACGCUGAGACGCGAAAGCGUGGGGAGCAAACAGGAUUAGAUACCCUGGUAGUCCACGCUGUAAACGAUGGCAACUAGGUGUGGCGGGUGUUGACCCCUGCCGUGCCGAAGCUAACGCAUUAAGUUGCCCGCCUGGGAAGUACGGCCGCAAGGUUA
This 373-nucleotide ribosomal RNA is filed under the name uncultured bacterium. RNAcentral's name for it is "bacterial SSU rRNA". It matches the Rfam family "Bacterial small subunit ribosomal RNA", at positions 525 to 896 of the family's 1533-position model. The record is from RNAcentral.